UGCGCAGGCGGCUCAUUAAGUCAGUGGUGAAAUCUCUCGGCUCAACCGAGAAACUGCCAUUGAAACUGAUAAGCUUGAGUGUAGUUGUAGUAGGCGGAAUAUAGCAUGUAGCGGUGAAAUGCUUAGAUAUGCUAUAGAACACCGAUCGCGAAGGCAGCUUACUAAACUAUUACUGACGCUCAUGCACGAAAGCGUGGGGAGCAAACAGGAUUAGAUACCCUGGUAGUCC
RNAcentral lists this ribosomal RNA (229 nucleotides) under uncultured bacterium. RNAcentral's name for it is "partial 16S ribosomal RNA". It matches the Rfam family "Bacterial small subunit ribosomal RNA", at positions 568 to 796 of the family's 1533-position model. The record is from RNAcentral.